RNAcentral lists this long non-coding RNA (224 nucleotides) under Helianthus annuus (common sunflower). RNAcentral's name for it is "hypothetical non coding rna". The stretch from base 1 to 108 matches the Rfam family "Small nucleolar RNA Z161/Z228". Lineage: Eukaryota; Viridiplantae; Streptophyta; Magnoliopsida; Asterales; Asteraceae. The record is from RNAcentral.
AAACCAUAUGAUGAUUUUGGAUUUAAUUCUCACGACGGUCGUCUGAUCUCACGCCUGUUUGUCGGGCCGUGAUAAACUGAUGUAUUGAUCCAUAUUUUUCUGAUGGUUUUUCAUAAAUUGUUUAUUUUUAUUAAAAAUGAUUGUUUAGUUGAACAUAAUGAGGAUUGUUUUAGUUGUUCCGAUUUAAUUUAUGAACGGAAUUGAUAACCUCCUACUCAUUCUGA